GAAUCAUAAUAACUAGUCGAAUCGACAGGCCUUGUGCCGGCGAUGGCUCAUUCAAAUUUCUUCCCUAUCAACUUUCGAUGUUUGGGUCUUGUCCAAACAUGGUGGCAACGGGUAACGGAGGGUUAGGGCUCGACCCCGGAGAAGGAGCCUGAGAAACGGCUACUACAUCCAAGGAAGGCAGCAGGCGCGCAAAUUACCCAAUCCCGACACGGGGAGGUAG
Molecule: ribosomal RNA, 220 nt
Filed under: cf. Trichoderma sp. 476/LC3
Lineage: Eukaryota; Fungi; Ascomycota; Sordariomycetes; Hypocreales; Hypocreaceae
Description: partial 18S ribosomal RNA
Rfam family: Eukaryotic small subunit ribosomal RNA
Source: RNAcentral